RNAcentral lists this ribosomal RNA (660 nucleotides) under Leucocoprinus nympharum. RNAcentral describes it as "eukaryotic LSU rRNA". It matches the Rfam family "Eukaryotic large subunit ribosomal RNA", at positions 53 to 695 of the family's 3401-position model. The record is from RNAcentral. Lineage: Eukaryota; Fungi; Basidiomycota; Agaricomycetes; Agaricales; Agaricaceae.
GAGGAAAAGAAACUAACAAGGAUUCCCCUAGUAACUGCGAGUGAAGCGGGAAAAGCUCAAAUUUAAAAUCUGGCGGUCUCUGGCCGUCCGAGUUGUAAUCUAGAGAAGUGCUGCCCGCGCUGGACUGUGUACAAGUCUCCUGGAAUGGAGCGUCAUAGAGGGUGAGAAUCCCGUCUUUGACACGGACUACCAGGGCUUUGUGGUACGCUCUCAAAGAGUCGAGUUGUUUGGGAAUGCAGCUCAAAAUGGGUGGUAAAUUCCAUCUAAAGCUAAAUAUUGGCGAGAGACCGAUAGCGAACAAGUACCGUGAGGGAAAGAUGAAAAGAACUUUGGAAAGAGAGUUAAACAGUACGUGAAAUUGCUGAAAGGGAAACGCUUGAAGUCAGUCGCGUUGGCCGGGGAUCAGCCUCGCUCUUUUGCGUGGUGUACUUUCCGGUCGACGGGUCAGCAUCAAUUUUGAUCGCUGGAAAAAGGCCUGAGGAAUGUGGCAGCUCCGGCUGUGUUAUAGCUUCUGGUCACAUACAGCGGUUGGGAUUGAGGAACUCAGCACGCCGCAAGGCCGGGUUUCGACCACGUUCGUGCUUAGGAUGCUGGCAUAAUGGCUUUAAGCGACCCGUCUUGAAACACGGACCAAGGAGUCUAACAUGCCUGCGAGUGUUU